RNAcentral lists this ribosomal RNA (484 nucleotides) under uncultured bacterium. Its description in RNAcentral is "partial 16S ribosomal RNA". It matches the Rfam family "Bacterial small subunit ribosomal RNA", at positions 28 to 523 of the family's 1533-position model. The record is from RNAcentral.
GACGAACGCUGGCGGCGUGCUUAACACAUGCAAGUCGAACGAUGAAGCCGGAGCUUGCUCUGGUGAAUUAGUGGCAAACGGGUGAGUAACACGUGAGUAACCUGCCCUUGACUCUGGGAUAACUGCGGGAAACUGUAGCUAAUACCGGAUACGACCCUCGGAGGCAUCCCCUGGGGGUGGAAAGAAUUUCGGUCAAGGAUGGACUCGCGGCCUAUCAGCUAGUUGGUGAGGUAAAGGCUCACCAAGGCGACGACGGGUAGCCGGCCUGAGAGGGUGACCGGCCACACUGGGACUGAGACACGGCCCAGACUCCUACGGGAGGCAGCAGUGGGGAAUAUUGCACAAUGGGCGCAAGCCUGAUGCAGCGACGCCGCGUGAGGGAUGACGGCCUUCGGGUUGUAAACCUCUUUUAGCAGGGAAGAAGCGAAAGUGACGGUACCUGCAGAAAAAGCACCGGCUAACUACGUGCCAGCCGCCGCCGUAA